This 449-nucleotide ribosomal RNA is filed under the name uncultured bacterium. RNAcentral's name for it is "bacterial SSU rRNA". It matches the Rfam family "Bacterial small subunit ribosomal RNA", at positions 329 to 795 of the family's 1533-position model. The record is from RNAcentral.
UGCCAGACUCCUACGGGAGGCAGCAGUGGGGGAUAUUGCACAAUGGGGGGAACCCUGAUGCAGCGACGCCGCGUGGGUGAAGGAGCACCUCGGUGCGUAAAGCCCUAUCGGCAGGGAAGAAACAGACGGUACCUGACUAAGAAGCCCCGGCUAACUACGUGCCAGCAGCCGCGGUAAUACGCAGGGGGCAAGCGUUAUCCGGAUUCACUGGGGGUAAAGGGAGCGUAGACGGCGACGCAAGUCUGGAGUGAAAGCCCGGGGCCCAACCCCGGGACUGCUCUGGAAACUGGGUCGCUGGAGGACGGGAGGGGGAGGCGGAAUUCCUGGUGUAGCGGUGAAAUGCGUAGAUAUCAGGAGGAACACCGGCGGCGAAGGCGGCCUGCUGGACCGUGACUGACGUUGAGGCUCGAGAGCGUGGGGAGCAAACAGGAUUAGAUACCCCUGUAAUU